UACAGAGGUCUCAAGCGUUGUUCGGAUUCAUUGGGCGUAAAGGGUGCGUAGGUGGCGCCGUAAGUCAGGUGUGAAAUUUCGGAGCUCAACUCCGAAGCUGCAUUUGAUACUGCGGUGCUUGAGGACUGGAGAGGAGACUGGAAUUCACGGUGUAGCAGUGAAAUGCGUAGAUAUCGUGAGGAAGACCAGUGGCGAAGGCGGGUCUCUGGACAGUUCCUGACACUGAGGCACGAAGGCCAGGGGAGCAAACGGG
Molecule: ribosomal RNA, 253 nt
Filed under: uncultured bacterium
Lineage: Bacteria
Description: partial 16S ribosomal RNA
Rfam family: Bacterial small subunit ribosomal RNA
Source: RNAcentral